UGCAGUACAUCUCUGCGAAGCAGAGCAUUCUGUUCGGCACACGCCACAGCCGCAAAGCUGAAGCUACUCUUUGCUAAGUACAAACGAUUUUAUAGAUCGCCUCUCGCGAAGGUGACUUGGAUAUAUUCUAGCAUUAAAAUUUAAUAGUAUCUGCAGCAGAUUUCUUUCACCCCCCAUCCGUUCUCCUUUCUGUACGGGCAGUGCUUAUAUGGAGAUCCGUUUACUGAAAAGUGGGAGGAGAUUGACAGACAAAAUCUCUCAUCUAUUUUUUUUUUCCUUGAGAGCGAAGCUAAAGCACAAAGGAAGGAGCUGGGUAUUUGACCAGAGAACAUACGCUUGGUGGCUGCCUUCUCUUCAAAUGUGGGAAGACUUGCCAAAAUCAGAAUUUACCCUGGCUUCCUCCAGUUUUAUCAUGCAUAAAUUGGGCAGAUUGUUUGAAUUGGAUAUGAUGAACCAUGAUGAACAUUUUUUUACUGAGCUUUUAAAUAUCAUCUUGCCAACACUUUUCUACAAUGGAUAAACAUGAGGAAUUAUAUUUAAUAUGAAGCGAAUGAGGCCUUCAACAGGAUGUGCAGAAGUGAGCACCAAGCACUGGUAAGAUUGCAUACACAGAGCUGCAAGAGAGUCCUGGUACUUAUCCAUACAAGACCUCCAGAGAAGACAGUAGGUGUGCAUCCACCAUUCUUUAUAUUAUUUAGUGCAGGCAUUUCACACUGUAGGUUCCCAAGGGCAACUUUGAUCAUGACGAGCCUCAUGUUAUGAGCCAGUAUCCUCAUAGCUUACCUGGGAUCCCUUAAGAUGUUAUAAAUAUGUAAUUUUACUGCAGUUUUGAUAUGUAGACAUCCUUAAAGGUUAAUGAUGAGAAAAGACUAAACCCUAGUAUUAUCACAAUAUAAGCAAGGCAGAAGUUAAUUAGCCUUUAUAGUUAAGGCGUUUUCUAGUUCUAAGGAAUUGCCUGUAAAAACAACAAGCACCCAGAAAAUGUAAAAUGAAAUAGAGGUUUUUCAGAAAGAAAAACACAUGGAGCUGUGCAAUUAUAUUAAAAACAAAGAAACCUACUCAAAGUAUAUGACAUUCUAUGUCACCCAGAUUAAAUGACAAGCCUAAUAACAUUAUACCAAUUAUAAACUGCAUUAACCAUAUGCACUUAUAAAUUAACAAAUAAUAUGUAUAUAUUUACAAAUAUAUCAUAAUGCCACAUAUGGGAUUAUCUGCCUAGUCGGCAGAAGAUCAUACUGAAACCAUUUCAGGACACUGCCUUCAAUAACUAGAAGCAGCUGCAUGCAUUUCGUUUUUUGCUGCGUUGGUUGCUUUGUGUUUUUUCUCUUCCAGCUUCUAUUAUGUGACCUGAAUCAGGUAUAUAAUUCAGAGUGUUAUAGCUGCACUGGAAAAGAUGAUGUUCUUUGGAAUCACUAGCUGCAAGGCAUACAGGAUACAAUGUCACUGACACAUGAUUGAGGAAGAUGUAGCUUCGUUUUAUCAGUUUGCCUGGUCUGAGUAAACUCGGGGUGAAAGAGAAGAUAAAAGAUUCAGUUCUGUUUCCAGACUUUGCAAACCUGUCAUCUUCCAGCUGUCACAACUGUACUCUGGGAAUAGGUUUCCCUGGACUGCCAUCUCAAAUGAAUGAAUAUCUGCAUGAAAAGCCAUCCGAUUCUGUUACUUUGUUUCUACACUGCCUCCCCACUAUUUGCUUUCAAGAGAUGUAUUUUAUUUUCUAAAACCUCUACAGAUACAUGUUUUUAAAUGGCCUUUCAAACUACUAAUAUCUAUUCCAGGUCAACACAAGAAAAAUUAAAAGAGUGUAAGAAUACAGUCAAGAUCUGCUUUAGAAAAUACAUAGCAAAUAUGCCAAACUAGUAAAACAAAUACAACCAUAGAAUCAGACAUAGGUAUCACAGUUCUGCCAGAAAUUACUAUGGUUUCUAGUGUUGUUUAGUUUGUGUUUUGUUAUAGAAAAACAUUUCUGGGCAAAUGCAGUAGGUAAGAAUUCAUUUUGUCAAAUGACUAACAGACAUAACAUGUUUUAUAUUGGCAGUUUAUUUGGUAGGUCUAUGUAAAUCCACUACCAAUCUGUUUGUUUGCUUGCGAGUCCAAAUUAGAAUCACAGAAGUUAUGCUUUGCUUAAAAAAUAUAGUAGCCACAAAUAUAGCAACACAAUUCCAAUAAUUUGUCAUCAAAUAGGAUUCUGCACUCAAGUACUAUAUAUCACUUGUCUAAAGAAUUAAGAUACAAAAAUGGUGUAUAUUUUUAUAAGUUUGGAACUUAUUGCGUUUAGAUGUUGAAUAUGUGAAUCUUGAAUGUGGAGAGAACACGAUCAGUUAAUAUGUUAAGACAGAAUAGAGUGAACCCUGAUUUAUGUACCCACAUUUUAAUGGAGAAUGAGCUUUUCGAGGAUGUUGUGUUAAUUGUGCAAAUGUUCUAUAUCAGUAUCCUUAAGCAUGCAUCACUUGUCGGUGUAAAAACGCUUAUUAACUUUU
Molecule: long non-coding RNA, 2477 nt
Organism: Xenopus laevis (African clawed frog)
Lineage: Eukaryota; Metazoa; Chordata; Amphibia; Anura; Pipidae
Exons: 8
Source: RefSeq, a predicted model, not a curated record